GUCAGGAUAGCUCUGCUGGUAGAGCAGAGGACUGAAAAUCCUCGUGUCACCAAUUGAAAUUUGGUUCUUGGCA
Molecule: transfer RNA, 73 nt
Filed under: Amborella trichopoda
Lineage: Eukaryota; Viridiplantae; Streptophyta; Magnoliopsida; Amborellales; Amborellaceae
Rfam family: tRNA
About the family: Transfer RNA (tRNA) molecules are approximately 80 nucleotides in length. Their secondary structure includes four short double-helical elements and three loops (D, anti-codon, and T loops).
Source: Rfam by way of RNAcentral